This 468-nucleotide ribosomal RNA is filed under the name uncultured bacterium. Its description in RNAcentral is "partial 16S ribosomal RNA". It matches the Rfam family "Bacterial small subunit ribosomal RNA", at positions 28 to 507 of the family's 1533-position model. The record is from RNAcentral.
GACGAACGCUGGCGGCGUGCUUAACACAUGCAAGUCGAACGGAAAGGCCCUGCUUUUGUGGGGUUCUCGAGUGGCGAACGUGUGUGUAACACGUGAGUAACCUUCCCUUGACUUUGUUAUAACUUCAGGAAACUUGUUCUAAUACCGGAUAUGAUCUCCUGCUGCAUGGUGGUGGUUGGAUAGUUUCGGCGGUUGGGUAUGGACUCGCGGCUUAUCAGCUUUUUGGUGGGGUAGUGGCUUACCAAGGAUUUGACGGGUAGCCGGCCUGAGAGGGUGACCGGCAAAAUUGGGACUGAGAGACGGACCAGACUACAACGGGAGGCAGCAGGGGGGAAUAUUGCACAAUGGGAGGAAGCAUGAUGAAGAAAAGCCGCGUGCGGGAUGAAGGCCUUCGGGUUGUAAACCGAUUUAGAAUGUGAAGAAGAGUGAGUGACGGUAAUGGGUAAAGAAGCAACGGCUAACUACGUG